RNA transcript from Salvia splendens (bonfire salvia), 1473 nucleotides. It is a transcript of the gene named regulatory protein RecX, with no coding region annotated. The record is from RefSeq and is a predicted model, not a curated record. The transcript has 7 exons. Lineage: Eukaryota; Viridiplantae; Streptophyta; Magnoliopsida; Lamiales; Lamiaceae.
GUUCCAUUUUCAAAUGAAAUAACAGCUUUAAAUAAAAGCCGAAAACAAAUUUCGUGGGUUCACUCUCGUUAACAAAAUGACCUUUUCUCUGAGCUUCUUCCAUGGAAGAGCUAACAAAAUCCAAUUCCCACUCUCUCUGCUUCCUUGGUUAACAAGGAACAUCGGCUGCGCUCAAGGAAGGGGCUACAGUAGCUCUCCUCCUCUAGCCAGGAAAGCUUUAAACAAGGAACAAAAUGGAACUACUUCUUUGCCUCUGAGGGCAACUGCUAAGAGGUUUCAAUUUUGCAACCAACCACACAGGAGCCUUCCUUCUGAUGUAUAUAAUGUGUUCAAUUUGCCUGUGGAAGAAGAGAUUGAGGGAGAUUUAACGGCUGUGGCUGAUGAAUUCGUCCAAGAUCCCGAAGAUAGUAGUAGAAGAUGCUGUGGGAUGCAAGAUGCGCAGAAUUCUGCAAUCAAGUUGCUUGCGUCUAGGGCAUUUACUUCUAUGGAACUGAAGAAGAAACUGGAAGGGAAGAAAUUUCACCAUGAUACUAUAGAUGCAGUCAUAACAGACUUCCAGAGUAGGGGUCUGAUUAAUGAUUACUUAUAUGCGGAAGCAUAUACCCGAUCGAGAUGGUCUUCCUCAAGCUGGGGCCCUCGUCGAAUCAGACAAGAACUAUUCAAGAAGGGGAUAAGUGAAGCAGAUGCAGAAAAAGCGAUAAAACUAGUGUUUGUAAAUAGUGAAGGUGACGAAUAUGAGGAUUCAGGAAUAGCCAUGUCAAAGUCUUCUAUUGACCACUUAUAUGCUCAGGCCUCAAAGCAAUGGCAGAGAAGUCAAGGCGCAGCACAAGAGACACGGAAAUCGCGAAUAGUCCGCUGGCUUCAGUAUCGUGGCUUCAAUUGGAGUGUGAUCAAAUAUGUAUUAAAGAAGUUGGAAUCCGGGGGUCCUUCCUAAAGCCAUCGCCAUUGUGCUGCUUCCUGUAUCGUGUGUCAUAGAUGACGACUCUGCCUUGAGCAAUUCUUGACAGGUGAUAGAUGACGACUCUGCCUUGAACCAUUCUUGACAAGCCAAGCUGUUCAAGCUUGGAUUGACCAGAUGAAGUUAAGUACAAGCAAUAAAUGACGAAAGUAACAAAUUGGAGGUGGCUGCCGGAGUGGUUGCUUUCCAAACACCAAAUUGCAGUGCGUUGAUACAUGUAAAGAAUAGAAAUGGGCACAUCUCAAUCUGAUUCUUGAAUUGUGGAUGGUUGUCAUGCCCUGGGUUCAAUGAAAUGUAGUAUGUGUGUUGUAGGUGUUUGAAAUUUUGGAUGCAGGAACCGAGUAAGGGUGUUUCGAUGUUUCUGGUUGAACAAGAUGCUUAUAACAGAGGGAGGGGCCCUGAAAGCAAUGGAUUGUGCCGACGCUCUACAAAAGUAGUUGAGGCUUUAGAAGCAAGCAUUGUGUAGCAAGGAAACCAUGAGCAAGAUGUGUAUAAUUUCAUUGCAAUAUUAAAUA